AGAUUGAACGCUGGCGGAAUGCUUUACACAUGCAAGUCGAGCGGCAGCGCGGUCUUCGGACUGGCGGCGAGCGGCGAACGGGUGAGUAAUACAUCGGAACAUGCCCAGUCGUGGGGGAUAACACUUCGAAAGAAGUGCUAAUACCGCAUACGUCCUGAGGGAGAAAGCGGGGGAUCGCAAGACCUCGCGCGAUUGGAGUGGCCGAUGUCAGAUUAGCUAGUUGGUGGGGUAAAGGCCUACCAAGGCAACGAUCUGUAGCUGGUCUGAGAGGAUGAUCAGCCACACUGGGACUGAGACACGGCCCAGACUCCUACGGGAGGCAGCAGUGGGGAAUUUUGGACAAUGGGGGCAACCCUGAUCCAGCCAUUCCGCGUGAGUGAAGAAGGCCUUCGGGUUGUAAAGCUCUUUCGGCAGGAACGAAACGGUGAGCUCUAACAUAGCUCGCUAAUGACGGUACCUGAGGAAGAAGCACCGGCUAACUACGUGCCAGCAGCCGCGGUAAUACGUAGGGUGCGAGCGUUAAUCGGAAUUACUGGGCGUAAAGCGUGCGCAGGCGGUUGUGUAAGACAGGUGUGAAAUCCCCGGGCUUAACCUGGGAACUGCGCUUGUGACUGCACGGCUAGAGUAUGGCAGAGGGGGGUGGAAUUCCACGUGUAGCAGUGAAAUGCGUAGAGAUGUGGAGGAACACCGAUGGCGAAGGCAGCCCCCUGGGCCAAUACUGACGCUCAUGCACGAAAGCGUGGGGAGCAAACGGGAUUAGAUACCCUGGUAGUCCACGCCCUAAACGAUGUCGACUAGGUGUUCGGUGAGGAGACUCAUUGAGUACCGCAGCUAACGCGUGAAGUCGACCGCCUGGGGAGUACGGUCGCAAGAUUA
RNAcentral lists this ribosomal RNA (876 nucleotides) under bacterium enrichment culture clone D907-1. RNAcentral's name for it is "bacterial SSU rRNA". It matches the Rfam family "Bacterial small subunit ribosomal RNA", at positions 26 to 896 of the family's 1533-position model. The record is from RNAcentral.